This 253-nucleotide ribosomal RNA is filed under the name uncultured bacterium. RNAcentral describes it as "partial 16S ribosomal RNA". It matches the Rfam family "Bacterial small subunit ribosomal RNA", at positions 524 to 776 of the family's 1533-position model. The record is from RNAcentral.
UACGUAGGGGGCUAGCGUUGUCCGGAAUCAUUGGGCGUAAAGCGCGUGUAGGCGGUCCGGUAAGUCCGCUGUGAAAGUCGAGGGCUCAACCCUCGAAUGCCGGUGGAUACUGUCGGGCUUGAGUACGGGAGAGGCGAGUGGAAUUCCUGGUGUAGCGGUGAAAUGCGCAGAUAUCAGGAGGAACACCGGUGGCGAAGGCGGAUCUCUGGGCAUGAUCUGACGCUGAGGAGCGAAAGUGUGGGGAGCGAACAGG